This 253-nucleotide ribosomal RNA is filed under the name uncultured bacterium. Its description in RNAcentral is "partial 16S ribosomal RNA". It matches the Rfam family "Bacterial small subunit ribosomal RNA", at positions 524 to 776 of the family's 1533-position model. The record is from RNAcentral.
UACGUAGGGUGCAAGCGUUAAUCGGAAUUACUGGGCGUAAAGCGUGCGCAGGCGGUUGUGUAAGACAGAUGUGAAAUCCCCGGGCUCAACCUGGGAACUGCAUUUGUGACUGCACGGCUGGAGUCCGGCAGAGGGGGAUGGAAUUCCGCGUGUAGCAGUGAAAUGCGUAGAUAUGCGGAGGAACACCGAUGGCGAAGGCAAUCCCCUGGGCCUGCACUGACGCUCAUGCACGAAAGCGUGGGGAGCAAACAGG